UCAAAAGUUAAUGAGAUGCAGAGAGAAGAGCACUUAGAAUGGGAAGAACUGGGUUCAAAUGCCAAUCACUAUACAUGUGAUCUUGGGCAAAUUAUUUGCUUCUUUGGGCCUCGGUUUACUCACGUUUAAAAUAAGAGCGACCUCUCCUAGACCCAUGUAAGUACCCUUACACCAGGGAAAAACAAAUCAACAAAUUGACUUCCUUAUCUCAGUACAACAUGGAACCCAAGCCAAAUAAUAAGUAAAUAUAGUUUCUUCAUGGAGCAGAGCCAGACUUUCCAGACACGUUGUCUGCAUGACAAAAGGCUUAGUGCCAAGACUGCCUUGAGGAUUUUAUCACUAGGGUCCACUGAAAAGCUGUUCAAAAUGGUUUGAACAGUGGCCCUGAGUCCUGGCUCUUGCUACAGAGUACAGGAGACACAUGUGCUCAAGUAAGUAAAUACAAAGGAAUACAAGACAGUUUUAGGAGGGAAAGAGUGUUAAAAACUGGAAGCAUCAGGGAAGGACUUA
Phascolarctos cinereus (koala) is the source of this 510-nucleotide non-coding RNA. The record is from RefSeq and is a predicted model, not a curated record. Lineage: Eukaryota; Metazoa; Chordata; Mammalia; Diprotodontia; Phascolarctidae.